UACGUAGGAUCCGAGCGUUAUCCGAAUUCACUGGGCGUAAAGCGCGUGCAGGCGGUUUGGUAAGUUGGAUGUGAAAGCUCCCGGCUCAACUGGGAGAGGCCGUUCAAAACUACCAGACUUGAGGGCGGUAGAGGGAGGUGGAAUUCCCGGUGUAGUAGUGAAAUGCGUAGAUAUCGGGAGGAACACCAGUGGCGAAGGCGGCCUCCUAGACCGUUCCUGACGCUGAGAUGCGAAAGCUAGGGGAGCAAACGGG
RNAcentral lists this ribosomal RNA (253 nucleotides) under uncultured bacterium. RNAcentral describes it as "partial 16S ribosomal RNA". It matches the Rfam family "Bacterial small subunit ribosomal RNA", at positions 524 to 776 of the family's 1533-position model. The record is from RNAcentral.